AUUGAACGCUAGCGGGAUGCUUUACACAUGCAAGUCGAACGGCAGCGCGGACUUCGGUCUGGCUGCGAGUGGCGAACGGGUGAGUAAUGUAUCGGAACGUGCCCAGUAGCGGGGGAUAACUACGCGAAAGCGUAGCUAAUACCGCAUACGCCCUACGGGGGAAGCAGGGGAUCGUAAGGCCUUUCACGGUUGGAGCGGCCGGUAUCGGAUUAGCUAGUUGGUGAGGUAACGUCUCACCAAGGCGACGAUCCGUAGCUGGUUUGAGAGGACGACCAGCCACACUGGGACUGAGACACGGCCCAGACUCCUACGGGAGGCAGCAGUGGGGAAUUUUGGACAAUGGGGGCAACCCUGAUCCAGCCAUCCCGCGUGUGCGAUGAAGGCCUUCGGGUUGUAAAGCACUUUUGGCAGGAAAGAAACGUCGCGGGCUAAUACCCCGUGGAACUGACGGUACCUGCAGAAUAAGCACCGGCUAACUACGUG
RNAcentral lists this ribosomal RNA (483 nucleotides) under uncultured bacterium. Its description in RNAcentral is "partial 16S ribosomal RNA". It matches the Rfam family "Bacterial small subunit ribosomal RNA", at positions 30 to 507 of the family's 1533-position model. The record is from RNAcentral.